Long non-coding RNA from Neltuma alba, 171 nucleotides. RefSeq lists it as uncharacterized. NCBI's taxonomy places the organism in Eukaryota, Viridiplantae, Streptophyta, Magnoliopsida, Fabales, Fabaceae. The record is from RefSeq and is a predicted model, not a curated record. The transcript has 3 exons.
UUCACAGCAUUGUCAGCUAGCAGAUCUCAACUUCACUAAAUUAGAAAGACUAAAAUACUUAAAUCUUUCUAGGAUGGGGAUAACAGGUAUCAUUCCAACUCAUAUAAGAGGUCUUCAAAAUCUCAAUUAUUUGGACUUGUCUUGCAACAACCUUACAGGUAUCAUUCCAAC